RNAcentral lists this ribosomal RNA (356 nucleotides) under uncultured Glomeraceae. RNAcentral describes it as "SSU rRNA". It matches the Rfam family "Eukaryotic small subunit ribosomal RNA", at positions 569 to 929 of the family's 1831-position model. Lineage: Eukaryota; Fungi; Glomeromycota; Glomeromycetes; Glomerales; Glomeraceae. The record is from RNAcentral.
AGCAGCCGCGGUAAUUCCAGCUCCAAUAGCGUAUAUUAAAGUUGUUGCAGUUAAAAAGCUCGUAGUUGAAUUUCGGGGUCAGUAGAUUGGUCGUGCCACUGGUAUGUACUGGUCUUACUGGCUCCUCCUUCCUGAUGAACCGUAAUGCCAUUAAUUUGGUGUUGCGGGGAGACUGGACUGUUACUUUGAAAGAAUUAGAGUGUUUAAAGCAGGCUAACGCUUGAAUACAUUAGCAUGGAAUAAUGAAAUAGGACGUUCGAUCUUAUUUUGUUGGUUUCUAGGAUUGACGUAAUGAUUAAUAGGGAUAGUUGGGGGCAUUAGUAUUCAAUUGUCAGAGGUGAAAUUCUUGGAUUUAU